GACGAACGCUGGCGGCGUGCUUAACACAUGCAAGUCGAACGGAAAGGCCUGCUUUCCCUUGUGGAUUGCGGGUACUCGAGUGGCGAACGGGUGAGUAACACGUGAGUGAUCUGCCCCCAACUUGGGUAUAAGCCUGGGAAACUGGGUCUAAUUCCCGAUAGGACUGCAGGGUGGUGCCUGUGGUGGAAAACGAUUUUCUAGUGGUUGGGGAUGAGCUCGCGGCCUAUCAGCUUGUUGGUGGGGUAAUGGCCUACCAAGGCGGCGACGGGUAGCCGGCCUGGGAGGGUGGACGGCCCCAUUGGGACUGAGAUACGGCCCAGACUCCUACGGGAGGCAGCAGUGGGGAAUAUUGCACAAUGGGCGGAGGCCUGAUGCAGCGACGCCGCGUGGGGGAUGACGGCCUUCGGGUUGUAAACUCCUUUCGACCGCGAGGAAGCCACCUGGUUGGAAGGGUGGUGACGGUAGUGGUAGAAGAAGCACCGGCUAACUACGUG
Molecule: ribosomal RNA, 494 nt
Filed under: uncultured bacterium
Lineage: Bacteria
Description: partial 16S ribosomal RNA
Rfam family: Bacterial small subunit ribosomal RNA
Source: RNAcentral